This 27-nucleotide non-coding RNA is filed under the name Mus musculus (house mouse). Lineage: Eukaryota; Metazoa; Chordata; Mammalia; Rodentia; Muridae. The record is from RNAcentral.
UGGAGCCGCCUCACAUUCGCCGUCACA